Molecule: non-coding RNA, 30 nt
Filed under: Mus musculus (house mouse)
Lineage: Eukaryota; Metazoa; Chordata; Mammalia; Rodentia; Muridae
Source: RNAcentral
UNCAAGUAAGCCCUGAAGUCUAUUGUGCUU